CGCUAAAUAUAAAAUCGAGGUGAAACGUGCAAACCGACUUCAAAAUCAAAUUUGAAAGUCAGCCUUCCUAAAUGUCGUUGAGCAUUGUCGAGCAUGAAAAGUUUGUAUACGGCAUACCGCAUACGCUGACGAAAUAUGGUUUGAAAAAUACGUUUGAAAGAUAGAAGAAUUCAACAGGGAUGUAAAGAAAUUAUGUUUAGAUGGAACGGGCAAAAUUGGGUUAGUUCUUGGUAAUUAAAGUGAGUCGAAUAUUUUCUAUUUGUAAACAUCGUGC
Paramuricea clavata is the source of this 274-nucleotide non-coding RNA. NCBI's taxonomy places the organism in Eukaryota, Metazoa, Cnidaria, Anthozoa, Malacalcyonacea, Plexauridae. The record is from the annotation of a GenBank genome assembly.